UGAUUGAACCUGGUCUAAUUCAUGUGCGA
Molecule: small RNA, 29 nt
Filed under: Bombyx mori (domestic silkworm)
Lineage: Eukaryota; Metazoa; Arthropoda; Insecta; Lepidoptera; Bombycidae
Description: ovarian small RNA-33081
Source: RNAcentral